This 65-nucleotide transfer RNA is filed under the name Tramea virginia. Its description in RNAcentral is "tRNA-Gly". Lineage: Eukaryota; Metazoa; Arthropoda; Insecta; Odonata; Libellulidae. The record is from RNAcentral.
AUUUAUCUAAUAUAAUAGUAUAUUUGACUUCCAAUCAAAAAGUCUGAUCAUUUCAGGAUAAAUAA